Zea mays is the source of this 247-nucleotide long non-coding RNA. RefSeq lists it as uncharacterized. The record is from RefSeq and is a predicted model, not a curated record. Lineage: Eukaryota; Viridiplantae; Streptophyta; Magnoliopsida; Poales; Poaceae. The transcript has 2 exons.
GUGAGCUACGUGGGGAACUAAUUAGGCCACCUUCAUUGGACACUCCAACCAAAAUAGCAGGGAACUACAGAUGGGAUCCGUAUUUUAAGGAUUGUAUUGGAGCUAUUGAUGGUACACAUGUAAGAGCCAUUGUUCCUAGAGAUAUGGAGCAUGCCUUUCGUGGUAGGAAGUCCUAUGCGACUCAAAAUGUAAUGGCGGCUGUAGAUUUUGAUCUACGCUUCACUUAUGUGUUGGCUGGUUGGGAGGG